UGGGGAAUAUUGGGGCAAUGGGGCGAAAGCCUGACCCAGCGACGCCGCGUGAGGGAAGAAGAUCUUCGGAUUGUAAACCUUAGUCAACAGGGAAGAAGAAAGUGACGGUACCUGUGGAGGAAGCCACGGCUAAUUACGUGCCAGCAGCCGCGGUAACACGUAAGUUGCGAGCGUUGUUCGGAAUUAUUGGGCGUAAAGGGUAUGUAGGCGGUUCUGCAAGUCUGGUGUGAAAUGCCGGGGCUCAACCCCGGAACUGCGUUGGAAACUGCAGGACUUGAAUCGCUGAGGGGCAGCCAGAAUUCCAGGUGUAGGGGUGAAAUCUGUAGAUAUCUGGAAGAAUACCAAUGGCGAAGGCAGGCUGCCAGCAGAUGAUUGACGCUGAGGUACGAAGGUGCGGGGAGCAAACAGGAUUAGAUACCCUGGUAGU
This 427-nucleotide ribosomal RNA is filed under the name uncultured Treponema sp. RNAcentral's name for it is "bacterial SSU rRNA". It matches the Rfam family "Bacterial small subunit ribosomal RNA", at positions 355 to 794 of the family's 1533-position model. Lineage: Bacteria; Pseudomonadati; Spirochaetota; Spirochaetia; Treponematales; Treponemataceae. The record is from RNAcentral.